Bombyx mori (domestic silkworm) is the source of this 335-nucleotide long non-coding RNA. RefSeq lists it as uncharacterized. NCBI's taxonomy places the organism in Eukaryota, Metazoa, Arthropoda, Insecta, Lepidoptera, Bombycidae. The record is from RefSeq and is a predicted model, not a curated record. The transcript has 2 exons.
UUUUCUUUCUGUUUAAUUUACAUAUGGUUUAUGAUUCAUAAUGAAUCGUGCGUAAAACAAAACCGACAGAAUCACAAGACCAGUCUGGCGGAAGGCAAUCAAUAAAAUGUUUAAUUACAUAUAAAAUAUACUCAACAGGUGUUCGCUGAAAUGGAUAUUUUAUUACAAGAAAACAUCGGUAUAAAUUAAUUAGGACGUCGGAGGAUGGCUUACCUUGUUGUUGAGCGAUUGUGUCGUGAUGAAUGAGCAGAGUAUCACGAACGCAGAGAGCCAGUGCGUCGCCACGGAAGACUCCAUGAUUGUCCUAGAAAUAAAGUAAAAUAAAACUUAUUAAA